RNAcentral lists this long non-coding RNA (432 nucleotides) under Nicotiana benthamiana. Its description in RNAcentral is "long non-coding RNA (NBEN_LNC006723)". The record is from RNAcentral. Lineage: Eukaryota; Viridiplantae; Streptophyta; Magnoliopsida; Solanales; Solanaceae.
AAGGAAGCUUCUGCACAAUCUGGUGAAUUUCCUGCUCUAUUACUGGUGACAGUAGUUGCUGCUGUUGGUGCAGGGUGAGGCAGGGUCCAUCUCUGGCCAGAGUGAUGUCAAUGCCUGAUAGCUGUGUUGCUGCUGUACCCAGUAGCUCUUGGAAGAAUUGGCCAGAGUGAUGUUAAUGCAGUAGAUGUAUUCUUGGUAUUCAAUUUAGCAUAGUUGAUCUCCCCUUGAUCAGUAGUCUCAUCAGCUCUUUUUAUAGUUACUACCUGUUUGCCUCGGCUGUUCACUGAUAGUUCCACUUCAGGUUGAACUGUUUGCUCCUCAUGCUGUUGAAUGACUAUAAUCUCCUUCAUUACAGGCUUUGGUUGCCAUUGCAUUUUUGUUUUAUUCUUGAUCCUUUUUCUCUGAUUCUGUGGUCUUUUGGUUUGUUGCCCC